RNAcentral lists this long non-coding RNA (1420 nucleotides) under Homo sapiens (human). RNAcentral's name for it is "non-protein coding NUTM2A-AS1:5". Lineage: Eukaryota; Metazoa; Chordata; Mammalia; Primates; Hominidae. The record is from RNAcentral.
CAUUCUUCCUCCAUUAUCUCACUGCCUCCGGUGGCUGCUGGGAUACCGGAGGACUCGGGUCCCGGCUCGACUCAGUCCUCCAGCCGCCCGGGGAAUACCUCUAGUUCUUCCCGGCCGCCGCCGCCUCCGCCCCGCCGCUUCCUCCUCCGCCUGCCGGCCUCCUUCGCCCCGCCCCGUCCGCGCAGCUCGUCCGGCCCGCCCGCAGGCCAGCUUCUCUCGGGAGCCUCCACCCAGGCGCAUGGCUCCAUGAAGCAAGAGGAGGAGGCAGAGCGCGAGAGAUCCCGUCCGCCCCAGCCGCGUCUGGGCCAGGAGAAAAGCAAAACCAUAUUCCUGCUGCUGUCAGUUUUGAUGCACUGAGAAAACUUCAGAGACCUAAGCUUUUUCCAGAGAAGAGAAGCUUUACUGGUGUUCCAGCCCUAAGGCUCAUAUGACAUUAACAGACAAGACACUUUUCAGAAAGACAGGCAACGUGUUGGACCUUCCGGAGCUUCUCAGAAGACAGAGGGUUUUCUUUUGAGGUGUGUUUGUCAAAGUGUCUCUGAUGAACCACAACAAGUUUGUCAAGUGCAAGAAGACUUCAGCUGUGCUGGGCUCCAUCAACCCUGUGUACAAUGAGACCUUCAGCUUCAAGGCCGAUGCCACCAAGCUGGAUACCGCUAGCCUCAGCCUGACCGCGGUGCAGAACAUGGAAGGGGACAGUAAGGCCACACCCUACCCUGGGCUGCUGGGAUGGGGACCACGAGGGGCUGCCGAGUGUUCAGGCAGAGUGAGUGCCUCCUGUCCUGACCUCAGAAGGAGCUGUACGAGCUCCCUCCCUGGUUAAGGAAACUAGUGCUCAGAAAGGCUGAAAUACUUGCCCAAGGCCUGGGUUUCAUGCCCAGCUUUAGUCCAGUUGAGCUCUGUCUGUGGCACCCUAGAAACAGGUUAAGCAGCCAGGCUGGUCUCGAACUCCCGACCUCAGGUAAUCCGCCUGCCUCGGCCUCCCAAAGUGCUGAGAUUACAGGCGUGAGCCACUGCGCCAGGCCUAAUUUUGUAUUUUUUAGUAGAGACUGGGUUUCUCCAUGUUGGUCAGGCUCGUCUCGAACUCCGGACCUCAGGUGAUCUGCCUGUCUCGGCCCCCCAAAGUGCUGGGAUUACAGGUGUGAGCCACUGCGCCGGGCCUGGCAACUCACUUUCAAGCUGGCUGGGCUUGGCUCCUCACAUUUGUGCAUUCUGAACACAGGCUGCAGGGACAGCUGCUACCCCCAGGGAAAGCUCUUUUCGUGGUGAAGGGAGAAGCAUAAAAAGGCAAGCUGCAUUGUGCAUAUGCAUAUCUGUGUCUCUCCUUAUGUUGUGUCAUCCAAUAUCCCAUUGGCCAAAGCACGUCACAUAGCCAAGCUCCAAAUCAAGGGUCAGAGAAGUAAAUGAUAUCUUUUUCCUG